AUGGCGCUGCCGAACCAGAACACCGUCGAUUACCCCAGCUUCAAGCUCGUCAUCGUCGGCGAUGGCGGGACUGGCAAAACCACAUUUGUGAAGAGGCAUCUCACUGGAGAGUUUGAGAAGAAAUACGAACCCACCAUUGGUGUUGAAGUUCACCCGUUGGAUUUCACCACUAACUGUGGAAAGAUCCGUUUCUACUGCUGGGACACUGCUGGGCAAGAGAAGUUUGGUGGCCUUAGGGAUGGAUACUAUAUCCAUGGUCAGUGUGCGAUUAUCAUGUUUGAUGUCACUUCAAGGCUGACCUACAAGAAUGUUCCUACGUGGCACAGGGACUUGUGCAGGGUUUGUGAGAACAUCCCCAUUGUGCUGUGUGGCAACAAGGUUGAUGUGAAGAACAGGCAGGUUAAGGCCAAGCAGGUGACAUUCCACAGGAAGAAGAACCUCCAGUACUAUGAAAUCUCUGCCAAGAGCAACUACAACUUUGAGAAGCCCUUCCUUUACCUUGCUAGGAAGCUGGCUGGUGAUCCCAACAUCCACUUCGUCGAAGCAGUGGCCCUUAAGCCUCCGGAAGUGACCUUCGACUUGGCCAUGCAGCAACAGCACGAGGCUGAGCUUGCGGCUGCAGCGGCACAGCCACUGCCUGAUGACGAUGACGAUCUGAUCGAGUAG
This 666-nucleotide ribosomal RNA is filed under the name Triticum aestivum (bread wheat). RNAcentral describes it as "partial small subunit ribosomal RNA". The record is from RNAcentral. Lineage: Eukaryota; Viridiplantae; Streptophyta; Magnoliopsida; Poales; Poaceae.